Long non-coding RNA from Pectinophora gossypiella (pink bollworm), 409 nucleotides. RefSeq lists it as uncharacterized. Lineage: Eukaryota; Metazoa; Arthropoda; Insecta; Lepidoptera; Gelechiidae. The record is from RefSeq and is a predicted model, not a curated record. The transcript is spliced from 3 exons.
GAAAAUAGCCAACAACUUCUGUCGUUUCAUCGAUAUUAAAUCCAAAAGUGUCGACUGGAUUUACAUGAAAAGUCAGUUCAAGAAGACGAGAUGAAAAAUUUAAAAGAAAAGCUGAACAAGUCCCGCCUCAAGAUCAAACGACUUAAUGAAAAAAAAAACAAUGUGACAGGGUGUCACAAAGACAGUUUCUAAGCAAAUUGACACUGUUUAGAAAUUAAUAAAUUUGUAUUUAUUGUAAAUAUAAUGUACAUAAUUAAUAACGUGUGAAAUAAAUACUUGCUAAUGAAAAUGAACAGAUUUACGAUCUAAUUUAUAUUUCAUUUUACCUCCUGUUCUUAUUUACUCCUACUCCAACACUCCAGGUUGAUACGAACUGCGCCCAAUAAAGAAUGUAAUGAAUGUUAUAGAU